UGCAGCCUGGGCAAGCCCUCGGGGAUCUGGAGGAAGUCGGCGGGGUCGAGCGCGCCACCGUUCGCGUGUGGGCCCACCAGCCCCUCCUCCUCCUCCUCCUCCACGAGGUACCCGCCGGCGGCGAGCCCCCCACCGCCGCCGCGGCCGCCGACAUCGUAGAACGCGGAGAGGUCGGGAAGCGAGGCCGAGCCGCCAGCGGCGCGGCGCGGCGGAGGGGGCUUGCCGCCGCUGGCACCGGCGGGGGCGCGGGGCCGGCGGCGGCGGGUGGAGGCGGAGCGGGCGAGGUCGCCGCCGACCUGCGCGACUGCGCGGCAGUGCAGGUAGUAGGCCGCGGCGGCGGUGGAGGAGGCGCCGACGAGCACCGCGAGAGCGAGCUGCAGCUUGUAGGACGAGGCGGAGCCCGAUGAGUCCAUGGGUGCCGCCGGGCUCUGCCAGCCGGUUGGGGUGCGGGCUUGGGGGGGUUUAAGAGGGG
This 472-nucleotide long non-coding RNA is filed under the name Setaria italica (foxtail millet). Its description in RNAcentral is "long non-coding RNA (SITA_LNC002231)". The record is from RNAcentral. Lineage: Eukaryota; Viridiplantae; Streptophyta; Magnoliopsida; Poales; Poaceae.